GCUGUCAGACGUUUAAGAGGCUGGUGCAUGCAAGAGCAAGUCAAACUGGGGGGAGACAGUCAAACUGUCUUCUGGUACAGUUUGAACAUGAAUGUCAUGGAAGAGGAAAUACUGCCCAUGCUUUUCCUAUUUGUCUAAUUUGAGUGAUUUGUCUCAUUUUCUUCAAUCUGGGACAGGAAAACCACUAGAUGCUGAAAGUAUGUUUCCUCAGAGUCCGGGAUUAUCAGCACAAGGUGAAAAUAGUCCAAAAGGUGACACAGAGCCUGGAUCUCCAAGAGCUGCGCAUCCAAGCUUGGAUGAGGGCAAAGGAAGAGAAAGCCCAAAGGAAACAGAUUCAUCCAAGGAAGGGAAAAUUUCUAGCAGUUAAAGCACAGGAGAUGGGGCUGCCAGUGGGAACUCCAGCCAUUCUGCCCAUAAUUACAGCUCUUAAAAAUGGGGAGAGCAUCACUUUCGAAGGCAGGGAGGUAAGACGAAUGUGUGUUUUCUGCUAUGGUAUAGUGUCGUCCUGGGAGUCCAGUGAAGGCGGGAGGAUGGCACAGCAUACCGCAGAAAAAGACUGGUUACAAGAGGGCAUUGGGACAAUUCCAGCUGUGGGUGGGUUUUGUUUGUCUGUUUUUUAAUCCUUGUUCUUAAGGCAAGGAUGGGUGAUGGUUUUCUGCUUAUUCCCUCUCAUCUCUGCUAAUGUGUUUGUUCUUCUGCUGUUUCUGAGCUUUGAGUGGCUACUUCUGGUGACUGGCCCUUGUUUUCAGCCCCAAGCUGUUGCUGGAAGUGGCUCCUGUGACACUGGUGCUGUUGCAGGGGUGUGAUUAGAGAAGUAGCUCUGACACAAGUUCAUUUGUGGCUAUGGAUGUAUGCCUGCAGUUUGUUAGGGCUUCUGAGCCUCUCCAUCACAAGUCCUCAGAGCCGACUCCUUGAAUGAAUGGAGUUGAUCCCUGUGUGUUUUAAAUUUGGUGUUUGAGUGCUUGUAUAGCUGUUGUUGCCUCCUUACUCUUUUUUCAGCUCUUAGACCACAGAUUUUAAGUGGUUCCUGUGUGCAGGGUCUUACUCAGAUGUUAGUUUGAAGUGAGAGGCAGAGUUUGCCCUGUCCAUGUCAUGGGUGAUCCGUAAGUGAAGAUCCUAACCUAGGGGAUAGGACUGACAUAUCUUUGUCAUUAGAAUUUUGCAGAGCCUCUUUUCUUUUUGAUACUCCUUAUUACUGGCUCCCAUGACAUCCUGCUAGCAAAGCUGAGAAAGUGUGGGAUAGAGGAGUGGACAGUAAGGUGGGUUGAGAACUGUCUGACUGGCCGAGCUCAGAGGGUGGUGAUCAGCAGUGCAGAGUCUGGCUGGAGACCUGUGACUAGCGGCGUUCCCCAGGGGUUGGUGCUGGGUCCGGUCUUGUUCAACAUCUUCAUCGACGACCUUGAUGAGGGAAUAGUGUCUGCCCUCAGCAAGUACACCGAUGACACAAAGCUGGGAGGAGCGGCUGACACGCCAGAAGGCUGUGCUGCCAUUCAGCGAGACCUGGACAGGCUGGAGAGAUGGGAAGGAAGAAACCAAAUGAGGUUUAACAAGAGCAAGUGUAGAGUCCUGCACCUGGGAAGGAACAACCGCAUGUACCAGUACAGGCUGGGGGAUGACCUG
Molecule: long non-coding RNA, 1620 nt
Filed under: Anas platyrhynchos platyrhynchos (common mallard)
Lineage: Eukaryota; Metazoa; Chordata; Aves; Anseriformes; Anatidae
Description: lncRNA (ENSAPLG00000021505.1)
Source: RNAcentral